GACAGCUUAGCCAAGUGGUUACGGCGACAGACUUGAAAUCUGUUCCCUUCGGGGGCGCAGGUUCGAACCCUGCAGUUGUCG
This is a transfer RNA of 81 nucleotides. It matches the Rfam family "tRNA". Rfam says of the family: Transfer RNA (tRNA) molecules are approximately 80 nucleotides in length. Their secondary structure includes four short double-helical elements and three loops (D, anti-codon, and T loops). The record is from Rfam.